Molecule: ribosomal RNA, 425 nt
Filed under: uncultured beta proteobacterium
Lineage: Bacteria; Pseudomonadati; Pseudomonadota; Betaproteobacteria
Description: bacterial SSU rRNA
Rfam family: Bacterial small subunit ribosomal RNA
Source: RNAcentral
CAAGACCUUACGCUUUUGGAGCGGCCGAUGUCUGAUUAGCUAGUUGGUGAGGUAAAGGCUUACCAAGGCUUCGAUCAGUAGCUGGUCUGAGAGGACGACCAGCCACACUGGGACUGAGACACGGCCCAGACUCCUACGGGAGGCAGCAGUGGGGAAUUUUGGACAAUGGGGGCAACCCUGAUCCAGCCAUGCCGCGUGAGUGAAGAAGGCCUUCGGGUUGUAAAGCUCUUUCAGCCGGAACGAAACGGUCACGGUUAAUAACCGUGAUCACUGACGGUACCGGAAGAAGAAGCACCGGCUAACUACGUGCCAGCAGCCGCGGUAAUACGUAGGGUGCGAGCGUUAAUCGGAAUUACUGGGCGUAAAGCGUGCGCAGGCGGUUUUGUAAGUCAGAUGUGAAAUCCCCGGGCUUAACCUGGGAACUG